AGAAUCAACGCUGGCGGCGUGCCUAACACAUGCAAGUCGAGCGGAAAGGCCCUUCGGGGUACUCGAGCGGCGAACGGGUGAGUAACACGUGAGUAAUCUGCCCCUAGCUCUGGGAUAGCUCCGGGAAACCGGGAUUAAUACCAGAUACGACCACUUUAGACAUCUGUUGUGGUGGAAAGAAUUUUGGCUAGGGAUGAGCUCGCGGCCUAUCAGCUUGUUGGUGAGGUAACGGCUCACCAAGGCGACGACGGGUAGCCGGCCUGAGAGGGCGACCGGCCACACUGGGACUGAGACACGGCCCAGACUCCUACGGGAGGCAGCAGUGGGGAAUAUUGCGCAAUGGGCGAAAGCCUGACGCAGCGACGCCGCGUGGGGGAUGAAGGCCUUCGGGUUGUAAACCCCUUUCAGCAGGGACGAAGGCGAAAGUGACGGUACCUGCAGAAGAAGCGCCGGCUAACUACGUGCCAGCAGCCGCGGUAA
RNAcentral lists this ribosomal RNA (480 nucleotides) under uncultured bacterium. RNAcentral describes it as "SSU rRNA". It matches the Rfam family "Bacterial small subunit ribosomal RNA", at positions 26 to 523 of the family's 1533-position model. The record is from RNAcentral.